Molecule: transfer RNA, 76 nt
Filed under: Rickettsiales bacterium
Lineage: Bacteria; Pseudomonadati; Pseudomonadota; Alphaproteobacteria; Rickettsiales
Description: tRNA-Trp
Rfam family: tRNA
About the family: Transfer RNA (tRNA) molecules are approximately 80 nucleotides in length. Their secondary structure includes four short double-helical elements and three loops (D, anti-codon, and T loops).
Source: RNAcentral
AGGAGCAUAGCUCAGCUGGUAGAGCAGCGGUCUCCAAAACCGCAGGCCGUGGGUUCGAAUCCUACUGCUCCUGCCA